RNAcentral lists this ribosomal RNA (293 nucleotides) under uncultured bacterium. RNAcentral's name for it is "partial 16S ribosomal RNA". It matches the Rfam family "Bacterial small subunit ribosomal RNA", at positions 775 to 1067 of the family's 1533-position model. The record is from RNAcentral.
GGAUUAGAUACCCUGGUAGUCCACGCCGUAAACGAUGUCUACUAGCAGCUUGGUUCGUUAAGAACUGUUUUGCGCAGCUAACGCAUUAAGUAGACCGCCUGGGGAGUACGGCCGCAAGGUUAAAACUCAAAUGAAUUGACGGGGGCCCGCACAAGCGGUGGAGCAUGUGGUUUAAUUCGAUGCAACGCGAAGAACCUUACCAUCCCUUGACAUCCAGAGGAUUUACUAGAGAUAGUUUAGUGCCUUCGGGAACUCUGAGACAGGUGCUGCAUGGCUGUCGUCAGCUCGUGCCG